UCCUGACCUCUUUGCUUCCCCUGCAGCCUGCUCACACAGCUACCAGGGAACUGUGUGGUCCCUGUGUUCUUUGCUGGUUUUAACACUGAAUCAGGUGUUUUCAUGUUCUCUGCCACCAUAGCCCUCUUCCCUGUCCCCCACUGGACUCAGUGUUUCUCAGGUGCUGAUGGGGGAGGGGAAGAGGGCUGGGCAAGGGCACUGGGGGGGGGGGCUCUGGGAAGGCAGGGUGCUUGGUGGGCAGGGGUUCUAGAAGGUCUGUUGGAGGAGGUAGGGCUGGCGAGCAGGUGCCAGAGAAGAUUUAGGGGGGCCGUGGUGAGAUUGCCCCCUCGAACCGCUGGAAGGGCUGACUUGUUGAAAGAUGGCACGGAAUGUUCCUAGGGAGCAGGGGAGUGGGUGGGAGGCAGGAAGGAAGGGUAGGGUGGGAGGGAGGGAGGUUGGGAAGAGAGAGUGGGAGGUUUAGGGCAGGACCUGGGCUAGACUUAUAAAUAUCCCUAAGUGUCGUUACUUCUACUUUCCUCUGCCUUACAAAGCCUGGCACAUCGAGGCAGCUGGUCAGUCCACAGUAGCUGCCACUCCUUGCCAGCCUGGUCCUCCAGCUAAUGGGCCAUAGCCUUUGAAGGCAUGAGUGGAGAUCUCCCUGAGGCCAAUGAGGAGUGGCGCUGGUCUUCCCAGCCACCCUUGUCUCUCCCCAAGGAGAGCUGUGAAGGCAAGAUGCCAGAGACAUCCUCGGAGGAGCUGUCUCCUAAUCCUGACCGGAAAGCUGAGACUUCCCCACCUCCAGAAAUGGAUCCCAAAGACAACUCGAAGGGCAAGGGCAAAGGGGACUCUGGUGCCAAAGGUGGGCAGCAAGGCUCUGUUCCCAAGUGGUACAAGAUGAAAGGUGAGGAUCUCCAAGGCAACUGGAGUGAUCUGGCGAAGAUUGAACAGAAGGUGGAUACUCUGCUAGAGAAGAUGGAUCUGUAUAACAAGGAGGGUGGACCCCCGCCACAGGCUGCUGAGGAGGCGAAGAAGAUCCCACAGCCGCCGCAGCCCCAGCCACCCCAGCCACAGCAGCCGCAGCAGCCCCCUCCAGUGCCGCCACUGCCAACCCGGCAGGAGCAGGCGCUGCCCCAGCAGCAGCACCACGGUGGCAAAGGCCAGAAGAAGUUCAAGGGGUAUAUUAAGGGGGCUCCCACUGAGGUUGGUGGAGGAGGCAGUGGUGGUGGUGGUGCUGUGGGAAAGUUUGCUUAGAGGGGUGGAGCCUGGACCAGAGGGAUGCUGCAGAUCAAGGCCUGGAGGACCUGCGGGGGUGGUUCCAGGAAGAGGCAGUGGCAGCAGCAGCUGCAGGGGCCCCCUCCCCAUGACAUCUGGGCCCUUGUGCUAGAGCCAGCCUCACCUGGUCCCCUCCCCUGGUAUCCUCCAGCACAGUUGUCCCCAAUCUUAAUCGCUCCAGGCUCCCUAAUUCAGCUCUUUCUAGCAAGUGGCCGCCCCUGCCACUCCCCAAAGCAUUCCUUGGAGGCCCCCCAGUAAAGCAUCUGCUAUUUUGCUCCUUAGCUCUCAUAACUUUUCUCUGCAGAUUUGACAAUAAAAACAUUCUCUUGCUUCUGUGGUGCUUUUUU
Molecule: long non-coding RNA, 1598 nt
Organism: Phascolarctos cinereus (koala)
Lineage: Eukaryota; Metazoa; Chordata; Mammalia; Diprotodontia; Phascolarctidae
Source: Ensembl